Molecule: ribosomal RNA, 497 nt
Filed under: uncultured bacterium
Lineage: Bacteria
Description: partial 16S ribosomal RNA
Rfam family: Bacterial small subunit ribosomal RNA
Source: RNAcentral
GACGAACGCUGGCGGCGUGCUUAACACAUGCAAGUCGUACGGUAGGGCCCUUUCCUUGGUUCUCUAAUGUCGAACGGGGACGUAACACUAGCGUAACCUUCCCACACCUUUAGGAUAACGCUAACAAACUGAUGCCAAUGCUAGUUAUGUUCACCUUCUUCAUCGGCAUGGUUCGAAAGCUCCAGCCGGUGUUGAUGUACUCUCUGCCUAUCAGCGCGCUGCGUUAGUUAGUUGGUACGGGAACGGCUAACCAAGGCCACGCUGAAAAGCCGACCUGACAGGGUGACAGGCCACACUGGAACUGAGACACGGUCCAGACUCCUACGGGAGGCAGCAGUAGGGAAUCUUCCGCAAUGGGCGAAAGCCUGACGGAGCAACGCCGCGUGAGUGAUGAAGGUCUUCGGAUCGUAAAACUCUGUUAUUAGGGAAGAACAUAUGUGUAAGUAACUGUGCACAUCUUGACGGUACCUAAUCAGAAAGCCACGGCUAACUACGUG